Molecule: ribosomal RNA, 252 nt
Filed under: uncultured bacterium
Lineage: Bacteria
Description: partial 16S ribosomal RNA
Rfam family: Bacterial small subunit ribosomal RNA
Source: RNAcentral
UACAUAGGGGGCUAGCGUUAUCCGGAAUUACUGGGCGUAAAGGGUGCGUAGGUGGUUUCUUAAGUCAGAGGUGAAAGGCUACGGCUCAACCGUAGUAAGCCUUUGAAACUGGGAAACUUGAGUGCAGGAGAGGAGAGUGGAAUUCCUAGUGUAGCGGUGAAAUGCGUAGAUAUUAGGAGGAACACCAGUUGCGAAGGCGGCUCUCUGGACUGUAACUGACACUGAGGCACGAAAGCGUGGGGAGCAAACAGG